CUCUCACUCUGGUGGCGUGGAUGUACAUGCCGCGCCAGCAGGAAAAGGGAAAAAAAAAACACGCGAAAAGAGGAGGAGGAGGAGGAAGAAUUCCAUCGACAGCCCUCCCUCGGAACUAUCGGAUCUCGGGAAGAAGAUAUAUCCAUCGCUGGCACCCGUCGUCUUCCUCCCCCUUCUUCCCCAUCCCAUCUUCGUCCACUCGCGAGCUCGCCAUUAAUCCCACUCCACUCGGCUCCAGAGGGCCGGCCGGCGGCCUCCGCUCGAAGUCGAAGGUGCGACGACGUCGUUUUCCACCCGUCCCCACGUCAGCCACUCCACUCCCGGAAGGUCCCCCUCUCGCCCCCCGUUAAGAUGAUGCGGUGCGCCGUGAGGGGCGGCGGUGCUCACGUCGUCAUCGGCGAGCGGAGGUCGCCGUCGUCGUCGCCCGGCAGCGGAAGGAGCGUCGUGCGGAUGUCGGAGGGCCGCGGCGGGCUCUGCUGCGGCGGCGUGAGGUCGCGCGCGGCGGAUCUCGCGGGGCUCGAGAUGGGCAGGCCCAGCGCCGGCGCCGCGGGGCUCUUCCGGAGCCCGCGCUACGGCCGCGUGCGCGCCACCGCCUCAGCUGACCCCGAGGAUAUUCCAUCUGACAAGCUUCAAGCUAAAUCAUCUGGGAGUGUUCUGCCGUACGUUGGCGUUGCUUGCUUGGGGGCAAUUCUGUUUGGCUACCAUCUUGGUGUGGUCAAUGGCGCGCUUGAAUAUCUCUCGAAAGAUCUUGGGAUUGCUGAAAAUGCUGUGUUACAAGGAUGGGUGGUUAGCACAACCCUGGCUGGCGCGACAGUAGGUUCUUUUACUGGAGGGGCUUUGGCUGAUAAAUUAGGGAGAACACGGACAUUUAUCCUAGAUGCCAUCCCUCUUGCUGUAGGCGCAUUCUUGAGUGCAACAGCUCAAGAUGUCCGUACAAUGAUUAUUGGUCGAUUACUUGCUGGGAUUGGUAUUGGGAUCUCUUCCGCUCUUGUGCCGCUUUACAUAUCUGAGAUCUCACCAACUGAAAUACGUGGAGCACUUGGUACGAUUAAUCAACUUUUUAUCUGCAUUGGAAUUCUUGCAGCUUUGGUAGCUGGAUUGCCAUUAGCACAAAAUCCUGCAUGGUGGAGGACAAUGUUUGGAAUUUCAGUAGUUCCAUCUAUUUUGCUGGCUCUAGGAAUGGCUGUUUCACCUGAAAGCCCUCGCUGGCUAUUCCAGCAAGGAAAGAUUUCUCAAGCGGAAGCAGCUAUAAAAAAAUUGUAUGGGAAAGAGAAGGUUACUGAAGUUAUGUAUGACCUAAAGGCUAGUGGGCAAGGAUCUAAUGAGCCAGAUGCCAGCUGGUUUGAUCUAUUCAGCAAACGCUAUUGGAAAAUUGUGAGCGUGGGAGCGGCACUGUUUUUGUUGCAGCAACUUGCUGGCAUAAAUGCUGUUGUGUACUACUCUACAUCAGUGUUCCGCAGUGCAGGCAUUGCAUCUGAUGUUGCAGCGAGUGCUCUUGUUGGUGCUGCCAAUGUUUUUGGCACCAUGAUUGCAUCUUCACUGAUGGACAAGCAAGGGAGGAAGAGCCUUCUCAUAACAAGCUUUUCUGGAAUGGCGGCGUCGAUGUUACUCUUGUCAUUGUCCUUCACCUGGAAGGCUUUGGCACCUUAUUCUGGCACUCUUGCUGUUGUUGGCACUGUCCUGUAUGUGCUGUCAUUCGCUCUUGGAGCUGGCCCUGUUCCAGCUUUGCUCCUUCCUGAAAUAUUUGCCUCCAGAAUAAGGGCCAAGGCUGUAGCAUUAUCAAUGGGCAUGCACUGGGUAUCCAACUUCUUCAUCGGCCUGUACUUCCUGAGCGUCGUCAACAAGUUUGGAAUCAGCACCGUGUACUUGGGAUUCGCGUCCGUGUGUGCUCUCGCGGUCCUGUACAUUGCCGGGAAUGUGGUCGAGACCAAGGGGCGAUCCCUGGAAGAGAUUGAGCGGGAGCUAAGCCCGCCCAAUAAAGCCGAUGCUAAUGCUUUCUUGGUGAGUGAUCAAUGAGCACCGAGCAGAAACCAUCCUUGGACCUGGGGAUGUUGUCUCUGCCUUUUAUGAGUAGUUCCUGAAAGAGUAACUCUUCCUGAAAUAAGUGAGCCGCAAGAUCACCUGACGCCAUGCAAACCGCCUGGUGCUCAGGGUGUUGUGGCACCAGUGAAGCUCAGCUAUUUCUUGUUACAUCUCAAAAUCAAAGAGCUUAUGUGUCAUUGCUCCGGGAGGUGCAAGAUUUAGGCUGGCUGUUAGCCCUUGGAUGUCAUCGUUUUUGAGUGUACAGAUGAUCUCCUUGUAUGUGUCGGAAAUAAAACUCCGAUUUGCCGAAUUUCAAAGCGUGAUGUGUAAUUAUGCUUACCAAUUGAAAAUGCCCUAUCUCGUACUGUGUAAAUGAGAUCUUGAUGCAGCGGUAAAUCGGUAAGUACUCCACACAGUUCAUGUGUUCAUUUGUGAGCGGGUGCGUCUAAGUCAAGUGAUG
Molecule: ribosomal RNA, 2482 nt
Filed under: Triticum aestivum (bread wheat)
Lineage: Eukaryota; Viridiplantae; Streptophyta; Magnoliopsida; Poales; Poaceae
Description: partial small subunit ribosomal RNA
Source: RNAcentral